CCUACGGGACGCAGCAGUGAGGAAUAUUGGUCAAUGGGCGCGAGCCUGAACCAGCCAAGUCGCGUGAGGGAAGACGGUCCUAUGGAUUGUAAACCUCUUUUGUCGGGGAGCAAAAGACGCCACGCGUGGCGUUCCGAGAGUACCCGAAGAAAAAGCAUCGGCUAACUCCGUGCCAGCAGCCGCGGUAAUACGGAGGAUGCGAGCGUUAUCCGGAUUUAUUGGGUUUAAAGGGUGCGUAGGCGGAACAUUAAGUCAGCGGUAAAAUCGAGGGGCUCAACCCCUUUAAGCCGUUGAAACUGGUGAUC
Molecule: ribosomal RNA, 305 nt
Filed under: uncultured bacterium
Lineage: Bacteria
Description: bacterial SSU rRNA
Rfam family: Bacterial small subunit ribosomal RNA
Source: RNAcentral